Molecule: non-coding RNA, 907 nt
Organism: Triticum urartu
Lineage: Eukaryota; Viridiplantae; Streptophyta; Magnoliopsida; Poales; Poaceae
Source: RefSeq, a predicted model, not a curated record
GCAGACACCGGUGACCACGGGGAUGACCGGAGCGCGGCUUCGGCUCCUAGGCAGAAAGAAGUCAGGGAGGUGAGGGAGAGAAGAAAGGAUAAAGGAGCGGCGGUGCGGCGACCUAGGCAGGAGUUCGCCGGAGCGAGGAGACGGCGGACGGGCGCGGGAGACAGAGGAAUUCGGCGAGGGGGCGUGAAGUCCUUGCAGGUGGAGGCGGGCCAAGAGGGAUCAAAUCGAGACCAAGAGGCCACAGGGAGCGCUCGUGGAGAUGCGUCAUCACCUCAGGCGGACGACGCCACGGCCAUGUCUUCGUCGCCCCUCCCACCGCGAGGAAGAUUACGCCAAGCUAGGCAGCGGCGCUGGGCUGUACGUGGAGCCUCCGUCAGCCGCCUCCGCCCUCCAUACUGAUGCUCCAUCCUCUGUUUCGAUUGGCUCUGCUCCAAGUUCGACAGACCACUGGUGCUACGCCUCGACCUGCUCUGUCACUCCAUGGCACUCCUCCGUCAGACCCCAUCCAACCUUAUUUCACGUUUAUAGGAAUGACUCAUUCUCAUGGCAAAAUGAGGAUGGGACACUCUUCUCAUCUAACAUCUGUUCUACCAGUAGGGCUGGUGGCACUCUAUGGAAUACAAAGCUACUUGAUAAGUUAUGGCAUGAAAUUGCCCGGCCUUUGAUAUAAGCGAAGCAUCAGCCUUGAGGUUAUCCGUGGGGCUGCAAUGAUACACGCUUGAAUGGAAAUAUAUGAAGUCAUGGCUGGAUGUUGCUUUCAACCAGUAUAAGGCUCUGUUGACUAAGCAUGUAGAGAUUGAAAUUGAAUUUGUGACACUAUGUAAUUUCGUCUCUGGGGUAAUCGAAGAAAUGCUCCACGAAUAAGGCGUCCACCAAUAUAUGUUCAACAUCGUGUUCCUGUACUUGA